Molecule: ribosomal RNA, 468 nt
Filed under: uncultured bacterium
Lineage: Bacteria
Description: partial 16S ribosomal RNA
Rfam family: Bacterial small subunit ribosomal RNA
Source: RNAcentral
GACGAACGCUGGCGGCGUGCUUAACACAUGCAAGUCGAACGGAAAGGCCCUGCUUUUGUGGGGUGCUCGAGUUGCGAACGGGUGAGUAACACGUGAGUAACCUGCCCUUGACUUUGGGAUAACUUCAGGAAACUGGGGCUAAUACCGGAUAGGAGCUCCUGCUGCAUGGUGGGGGUUGGAAAGUUUCGGCGGUUGGGGAUGGACUCGCGGCUUAUCAGCUUGUUGGUGGGGUAGUGGCUUACCAAGGCUUUGACGGGUAGCCGGCCUGAGAGGGUGACCGGCCACAUUGGGACUGAGAUACGGCCCAGACUCCUACGGGAGGCAGCAGUGGGGAAUAUUGCACAAUGGGCGGAAGCCUGAUGCAGCAACGCCGCGUGCGGGAUGACGGCCUUCGGGUUGUAAACCGCUUUCGCCUGUGACGAAGCGUGAGUGACGGUAAUGUGUAAAGAAGCACCGGCUAACUACGUG